This is a long non-coding RNA of Megalopta genalis, 576 nucleotides long. RefSeq lists it as uncharacterized. Lineage: Eukaryota; Metazoa; Arthropoda; Insecta; Hymenoptera; Halictidae. The record is from RefSeq and is a predicted model, not a curated record.
CUUAACAUACCGUACAAAGUACCCGCGGAUAGAUAUUUUUGUAAUUGAAACUAAUCGAUCGUGAUGUUUGCACGUUACGCGGCAGGGGAUAAUGGUUAGCGGCUUGACGAUCGAACGAUGGACAAACAGAAAUAUGGACAGCCGAGAGAGGCCCGAAACCAGAACUCUCCACUGAUCCAUCAGUUCGAAUCAACUAGGACGAGAAUAAAAGGGAGAUAGAGAUCCAGCGAGCCCCGGGCGAGACAAUUAAUUUGUAGGAAGCGCGAUGAAGUACUCGUGUGUGCCGACAGAAUAUUUUAAGUCCACUAGAUUCUGUUCUAGCUUCCAAACUAUAGUAAUCUCUCCCUAAUUCGCGCUCAGAUCGCGCACGAAAAGGACAAUUUGGAAAGAGAAGGUACGAUUAUUCUACUCUUCCCAAAUUGUCCACUUUUGUGCGCGAUCUGAGCGCGAAUUGAGGAGAAAUUAUUGUACACGUUUACACAGUUUUCUUAUCCCCUUACUGUACUUUUAUUGUAAUUAAUAAUUUGUUCGCAUCAGAGCUAAUAAAUAACUAUGAUAUUCGGUUAGGAAGCCUUA